AGGUCCUCAAUAAGUAUUUGUUGAAAGAAUAAAUAAACCAACAAGUCUUAUUUGAGCACCUGUUAUG
This is a non-coding RNA of Macaca mulatta (Rhesus monkey), 67 nucleotides long. The record is from Rfam. NCBI's taxonomy places the organism in Eukaryota, Metazoa, Chordata, Mammalia, Primates, Cercopithecidae.